RNAcentral lists this transfer RNA (77 nucleotides) under Thermoanaerobaculum aquaticum. RNAcentral's name for it is "tRNA-Arg". It matches the Rfam family "tRNA". From Rfam's summary of the family: Transfer RNA (tRNA) molecules are approximately 80 nucleotides in length. RNAcentral also lists the same sequence under 6 other names. Lineage: Bacteria; Pseudomonadati; Acidobacteriota; Thermoanaerobaculia; Thermoanaerobaculales; Thermoanaerobaculaceae. The record is from RNAcentral.
GCGCCGAUAGCUCAAUUGGAUAGAGCAUCUGACUACGGAUCAGAAGGUUCGGGGUUCGAGUCCCUGUCGGCGCGCCA